AGCUUUGCACAGUGGCAAUAUUGUAGCCAAUGAGGCUUAUCUGAGGCGCAAUUAUUGGCUAAUUAAACUAUCUCACUGACCAA
Molecule: small nuclear RNA, 83 nt
Organism: Aotus nancymaae (Ma's night monkey)
Lineage: Eukaryota; Metazoa; Chordata; Mammalia; Primates; Aotidae
Gene: U4
Rfam family: U4 spliceosomal RNA
About the family: U4 small nuclear RNA (U4 snRNA) is a component of the major U2-dependent spliceosome. The structure of U4 snRNA from yeast and human has been reported.
Source: Ensembl